This 243-nucleotide ribosomal RNA is filed under the name uncultured bacterium. Its description in RNAcentral is "partial 16S ribosomal RNA". It matches the Rfam family "Bacterial small subunit ribosomal RNA", at positions 15 to 248 of the family's 1533-position model. The record is from RNAcentral.
GAUCAUGGCUCAGGAUGAACGCUAGCUACAGGCUUAACACAUGCAAGUCGAGGGGCAGCAUUUCAGUUUGCUUGCAAACUGGAGAUGGCGACCGGCGCACGGGUGAGUAACACGUAUCCAACCUGCCGAUAACUCGGGGAUAGCCUUUCGAAAGAAAGAUUAAUACCCGAUGGUAUAAUCAGACCGCAUGGUUUGAUUAUUAAAGAAUUUCGGUUAUCGAUGGGGAUGCGUUCCAUUAGGCAG